This 508-nucleotide ribosomal RNA is filed under the name Pseudomonas sp. RNAcentral's name for it is "bacterial SSU rRNA". It matches the Rfam family "Bacterial small subunit ribosomal RNA", at positions 10 to 513 of the family's 1533-position model. The record is from RNAcentral. Lineage: Bacteria; Pseudomonadati; Pseudomonadota; Gammaproteobacteria; Pseudomonadales; Pseudomonadaceae.
AGUUUGAUCAUGGCUCAGAUUGAACGCUGGCGGCAGGCCUAACACAUGCAAGUCGAGCGGUAGAGAGAAGCUUGCUUCUCUUGAGAGCGGCGGACGGGUGAGUAAUGCCUAGGAAUCUGCCUGGUAGUGGGGGAUAACGUUCGGAAACGGACGCUAAUACCGCAUACGUCCUACGGGAGAAAGCAGGGGACCUUCGGGCCUUGCGCUAUCAGAUGAGCCUAGGUCGGAUUAGCUAGUUGGUGAGGUAAUGGCUCACCAAGGCGACGAUCCGUAACUGGUCUGAGAGGAUGAUCAGUCACACUGGAACUGAGACACGGUCCAGACUCCUACGGGAGGCAGCAGUGGGGAAUAUUGGACAAUGGGCGAAAGCCUGAUCCAGCCAUGCCGCGUGUGUGAAGAAGGUCUUCGGAUUGUAAAGCACUUUAAGUUGGGAGGAAGGGCAGUUACCUAAUACGUGAUUGUUUUGACGUUACCGACAGAAUAAGCACCGGCUAACUCUGUGCCAGCA